Molecule: ribosomal RNA, 344 nt
Filed under: uncultured fungus
Lineage: Eukaryota; Fungi
Description: SSU rRNA
Rfam family: Eukaryotic small subunit ribosomal RNA
Source: RNAcentral
GGUUCAUUCAAAUUUCUGCCCUAUCAACUUUCGAUGGUAAGGUAUUGGCUUACCAUGGUUUCAACGGGUAACGGGGAAUUAGGGUUCGAUUCCGGAGAGGGAGCCUGAGAAACGGCUACCACAUCCAAGGAAGGCAGCAGGCGCGCAAAUUACCCAAUCCCGACCGGGGAGGUAGUGACAAUAAAUACUGAUACAGGGCUCUUUUGGGUCUUGUAAUUGGAAUGAGUACAAUUUAAACCUCUUAACGAGGGACAAUUGGAGGGCAAGUCUGGUGCCAGCAGCCGCGGUAAUUCCAGCUCCAAUAGCGUAUAUUAAAGUUGUUGCAGUUAAAAAGCUCGUAGUUG